RNAcentral lists this ribosomal RNA (788 nucleotides) under uncultured bacterium. RNAcentral describes it as "bacterial SSU rRNA". It matches the Rfam family "Bacterial small subunit ribosomal RNA", at positions 8 to 796 of the family's 1533-position model. The record is from RNAcentral.
AGAGUUUGAUCCUGGCUCAGAGCGAAGGCGGCGUGCUUAACACAUGCAAGUCGAACGCGCAGCAUUCUGUAGCAAUACAGGGUGUGGGCGCGUGGCGAACGGGUGCGUAACACGUGGAUAACCUUCCUUGAGGUGGGGAAUAACCCAGUGAAAAUUGGGCUAAUACCGCAUAACAUCGCGAUGGCACAUGCUGUUGCGAUCAAAGGCGCAAGUCGCCACAAGAGGGAUCCGCGGCCGAUUAGCUUGUUGGCGAGGUAAUGGCUCACCAAGGCAAUGAUCGGUAGCCGGACUGAGAGGUUGGCCGGCCACACUGGAACUGAGACACGGUCCAGACUCCUACGGGAGGCAGCAGUGGGGAAUCUUGCACAAUGGACGAAAGUCUGAUGCAGCAACGCCGCGUGGGGGAUGAAGCUUCUCGGAGUGUAAACCCCUUUCGACCCGGAAGAAUGCCCGCAAGGGUAUGACGGUACGGGUAUAAGAAGCCCCGGCUAACUACGUGCCAGCAGCCGCGGUAAUACGUAGGGGGCCAGCGUUGCUCGGAAUUACUGGGCGUAAAGGGUCCGUAGGCGGUGUAGCAAGUCGAUAGUGAAAUCUCUGGGCUUAACCCAGAGGCUGCUAACGAAACUGCUGUGCUAGAGUGUGAGAGAGGCGAGUGGAAUUACGGGUGUAGCGGUGAAAUGCGUAGAUAUCCGUAGGAACAUCCGAGGCGAAGGCGGCUCGCUGGAUCACAACUGACGCUGAGGGACGAAAGCUAGGGGAGCAAACAGGAUUAGAUACCCUAGUAGUCC